UUUUAAGCUUUUGGAAAGCUUCAAUAGGUUGUUAUUUCCUUCUGCUUCUAGUUAGCCGUUACAGUUGUGCUGUUUUGAUGUGAGCUGACUUUGUGAGGACCAUUCCCAUAACUUUUACACCUCUCUCCAGAGUGUUGACAGAAGCCUUUGUAGACUGGGAGAAUUGCUGAGGCAGAAUACCUUCUUCACACUGAGCAAGACCUUCACAAAGUGCAGCAAAUCUCUCAUAAACCACUGACUGCAGAAAGAGGACGGCAGCAUCCUGUCUACGUUCCUUUCUCCCUAAUAGUUUAGCAUUUUGGUAUCAACAUCUUGGGACAACACAAGAAGAAAAGAAAAGCUGAUUUCUGAAGAAGGCAAGCUCAGCUACAAUCCUCUCACUUUGUGUAGAUGUCCCCGAAGACUGCUUCAUAUUUGAGACAUAGAUGUUGAAGAGAGGUUUCUCAGCACACUGCAUGUAAUUCAAUGUUUUUCAAUCAGUGUUUUUCCUUGUCUUCUGUACUUUGUAUUUCUCUCACCUGGAUAUUUCAACUCAU
Molecule: long non-coding RNA, 536 nt
Organism: Passer domesticus (house sparrow)
Lineage: Eukaryota; Metazoa; Chordata; Aves; Passeriformes; Passeridae
Exons: 5
Source: RefSeq, a predicted model, not a curated record